UACGGGGGGGGCAAGCGUUGUUCGGAAUUACUGGGCGUAAAGGGCGCGUAGGCGGCCUGCUAAGUCGGACGUGAAAUCCCUCGGCUCAACCGGGGAACUGCGUCCGAUACUGGUGGGCUCGAAUCCGGGAGAGGGAUGUGGAAUUCCAGGUGUAGCGGUGAAAUGCGUAGAUAUCUGGAGGAACACCGGUGGCGAAGGCGGCAUCCUGGACCGACACUGACGCUGAGGCGCGAAAGCUAGGGGAGCAAACGGG
This 253-nucleotide ribosomal RNA is filed under the name uncultured bacterium. RNAcentral describes it as "partial 16S ribosomal RNA". It matches the Rfam family "Bacterial small subunit ribosomal RNA", at positions 524 to 776 of the family's 1533-position model. The record is from RNAcentral.